RNAcentral lists this transfer RNA (74 nucleotides) under Candidatus Woykebacteria bacterium GWA1_44_8. Its description in RNAcentral is "tRNA-Thr". It matches the Rfam family "tRNA". Rfam says of the family: Transfer RNA (tRNA) molecules are approximately 80 nucleotides in length. Their secondary structure includes four short double-helical elements and three loops (D, anti-codon, and T loops). The record is from RNAcentral. Lineage: Bacteria; Candidatus Woykeibacteriota.
GCCCUUCUAGCUCAAUGGCAGAGCGGCGGUUUUGUAAACCGUUGAUCGGAGUUCGAUUCUCCGGGAGGGCUCCA